CCUACGGGUGGCAGCAGUGGGGAAUAUUGCACAAUGGGGGAAACCCUGAUGCAGCGACGCCGCGUGAGCGAUGAAGUAUUUCGGUAUGUAAAGCUCUAUCAGCCGGGAAGCAAAUGACGGUACCUGAGUAAGAAGCACCGGCUAACUACGGACCAGAAGCCGCGGCAAUACGUAAGGGGCCAGCGUUAUCCGGAGUUACUGGGGGUAAAGGGGGCGUAGACGGUACUGCAAGUCAGAAGUGAAAACCCGGGGCCUAACCCCGGGACUGCAUUUGAAACUGUAAGGCUCGAGUGAGGGAGAGGCAUGCGGAAUGCCUAGUGUAGCGGUGAAAUGCGUAGAUAUUAGGCGGAACACCAGUGGCGAAGGCGGCCUGCUGGAGGACGACUGACGCUCAGGCACGAAAGUGUGGGGAGCGAACAGGAUUAGAUACCCGAGUAGUC
Molecule: ribosomal RNA, 440 nt
Filed under: uncultured bacterium
Lineage: Bacteria
Description: partial 16S ribosomal RNA
Rfam family: Bacterial small subunit ribosomal RNA
Source: RNAcentral